This 241-nucleotide ribosomal RNA is filed under the name uncultured bacterium. RNAcentral describes it as "partial 16S ribosomal RNA". It matches the Rfam family "Bacterial small subunit ribosomal RNA", at positions 791 to 1035 of the family's 1533-position model. The record is from RNAcentral.
UAGUCCACGCCGUAAACGAUGCUCACUGGUUCUGUGCGACAUACAGUACGGGAUUAAGCGAAAGUAUUAAGUGAGCCACCUGGGGAGUACGUCGGCAACGAUGAAACUCAAAGGAAUUGACGGGGGCCCGCACAAGCGGAGGAACAUGUGGUUUAAUUCGAUGAUACGCGAGGAACCUUACCUGGGUUUAAAUGGAGAUGGACGUAAUUGGAAACAGUUAUUCUCUUCGGAGCUAUUUUCA